UCCGAUGUUACUGAGUCAGGUUCUGUUGC
This 29-nucleotide non-coding RNA is filed under the name Rattus norvegicus (Norway rat). The record is from RNAcentral. Lineage: Eukaryota; Metazoa; Chordata; Mammalia; Rodentia; Muridae.